AGUGACCGAUGUUAAAAGUCCUACUUUUAAAAUCGGUUAACAGUGACUGAUGUUAAAAGUGAGACUUUUAAAAUCGGUCAUG
Molecule: microRNA precursor, 82 nt
Filed under: Cajanus cajan (pigeon pea)
Lineage: Eukaryota; Viridiplantae; Streptophyta; Magnoliopsida; Fabales; Fabaceae
Description: miRNA gene-KK1_049056
Source: RNAcentral